RNAcentral lists this ribosomal RNA (253 nucleotides) under uncultured bacterium. Its description in RNAcentral is "partial 16S ribosomal RNA". It matches the Rfam family "Bacterial small subunit ribosomal RNA", at positions 524 to 776 of the family's 1533-position model. The record is from RNAcentral.
UACGUAGGGUGCAAGCGUUGUCCGGAAUUAUUGGGCGUAAAGAGCUUGUAGGCGGUUUGUCGCGUCUGCCGUGAAAUUUCGGGGCUCAACCCCGAACUUGCGGUGGGUACGGGCAGACUAGAGUGUGGUAGGGGAGACUGGAAUUCCUGGUGUAGCGGUGAAAUGCGCAGAUAUCAGGAGGAACACCGGUGGCGAAGGCGGAUCUCUGGGCCAUUACUGACGCUGAGGAGCGAAAGCGUGGGGAGCGAACAGG